Molecule: ribosomal RNA, 465 nt
Filed under: Vreelandella stevensii
Lineage: Bacteria; Pseudomonadati; Pseudomonadota; Gammaproteobacteria; Oceanospirillales; Halomonadaceae
Description: partial 16S ribosomal RNA
Rfam family: Bacterial small subunit ribosomal RNA
Source: RNAcentral
CCUACGGGAGGCUGCAGUGGGGAAUAUUGGACAAUGGGGGCAACCCUGAUCCAGCCAUGCCGCGUGUGUGAAGAAGGCCCUCGGGUUGUAAAGCACUUUCAGUGAGGAAGAACGCCUGGUGGUUAAUACCCAUCAGGAAAGACAUCACUCACAGAAGAGGCACCGGCUAACUCCGUGCCAGCAGCCGCGGUAAUACGGAGGGUGCGAGCGUUAAUCGGAAUUACUGGGCGUAAAGCGCGCGUAGGUGGCUUGAUAAGCCGGUUGUGAAAGCCCCGGGCUCAACCUGGGAACGGCAUCCGGAACUGUCAAGCUAGAGUGCAGGAGAGGAAGGUAGAAUUCCCGGUGUAGCGGUGAAAUGCGUAGAGAUCGGGAGGAAUACCAGUGGCGAAGGCGGCCUUCUGGACUGACACUGACACUGAGGUGCGAAAGCGUGGGUAGCAAACAGGAUUAGAUACCCUUGUAGUC